Molecule: ribosomal RNA, 447 nt
Filed under: uncultured bacterium
Lineage: Bacteria
Description: bacterial SSU rRNA
Rfam family: Bacterial small subunit ribosomal RNA
Source: RNAcentral
AUUAAACGCUGGCGGCAUGCCUUACACAUGCAAGUCGAACGGCAGCACGGGGGCAACCCUGGUGGCGAGUGGCGAACGGGUGAGUAAAGCAUCGGAACGUGCCCUGGAGUGGGGGAUAACGUAGCGAAAGUUACGCUAAUACCGCAUAUUCUGUGAGCAGGAAAGCAGGGGAUCGCAAGACCUUGCGCUCUGGGAGCGGCCGAUGUCGGAUUAGCUAGUUGGUGGGGUAAAGGCCUACCAAGGCGACGAUCCGUAGCGGGUCUGAGAGGAUGAUCCGCCACACUGGGACUGAGACACGGCCCAGACUCCUACGGGAGGCAGCAGUGGGGAAUUUUGGACAAUGGGCGAAAGCCUGAUCCAGCCAUGCCGCGUGAGUGAAGAAGGCCUGGUGUAAGCNCUUCGUGGGAGAAUUAGCAUAGGCUAAUACCCUGUGUAGAUGACGGUACC